RNAcentral lists this ribosomal RNA (270 nucleotides) under uncultured archaeon. RNAcentral describes it as "partial 16S ribosomal RNA". It matches the Rfam family "Archaeal small subunit ribosomal RNA", at positions 477 to 747 of the family's 1478-position model. The record is from RNAcentral.
CAGCAGCCCAAGUGGUGAUCGCUAUUAUUGGGCCUAAAGCGUCCGUAGCCGGGCAGGUAAACCCUUGGGUAAAUCGUACAGCUUAACUGUACGACUUCCGAGGAGACUGCCAGCCUUGGGACCGGGAGAGGUCGGAGGUACUCCAGGGGUAGGGGUGAAAUCCUGUAAUCCUUGGGGGACCACCGGUGGCGAAGGCGUCCGACUAGAACGGGUCCGACGGUAAGGGACGAAGCCCUGGGUCGCAAACCGGAUUAGAUACCCGCGUAGUCC